CGUAGGUGGCAAGCGUUGUCCGGAAUUACUGGGUGUAAAGGGCGUGUAGGCGGGAAGGUAAGUCAGAUGUGAAAUCCCAUGGCUCAACUGUGGGGCUGCAUCUGAAACUAUCUUUCUUGAGUGCUGGAGAGGAAAGCGGAAUUCCUAGUGUAGCGGUGAAAUGCGUAGAUAUUAGGAGGAACACCAGUGGCGAAGGCGGCUUUCUGGACAGUAACUGACGCUGAGGCGCGAAAGCGUGGGGAGCAAACAGGAUUAGAUACCCUGGUAGUCCACGCUGUUAAACGAUGGAUACUAGGUGUAGGAGGUAUCGACCCCUUCUGUGCCGCAGUUAACACAAUAAGUAUCCCACCUGGGGAGUACGGCCGCAAGGUUG
This 373-nucleotide ribosomal RNA is filed under the name uncultured organism. RNAcentral describes it as "bacterial SSU rRNA". It matches the Rfam family "Bacterial small subunit ribosomal RNA", at positions 526 to 896 of the family's 1533-position model. The record is from RNAcentral.